CAUAAUGCCAGACAUGGAAGAAAUUAGUCCGGAAAAAUACUGAGUUUCUGAAAACGAUUUUCUGAAAAAAUAAGAUGGAAAUUGAAAGUAAAUUGGGUCUGUACUUUUGGUUACUAAAAUGGGUCUGGAAUGAAAAAAUUGUUAAAGGUCUCUUUGGACCAACUAAUUCUUGCUUUGGGAGAGCUGGACUCAAAUCCUUUUGUGCCUGAGAGGUCCACACCUCUGGACCUUCAGCUGUGUAAAAAUUCAACAGUGAGCCCUGUGGCUGACAAUUCUGCCAGAGUGCUGGAAACCCUCUGCCCCAUGUCCAAGGAAGAGUGGAGGACAGGCAACAUCAUGCUGUGUACAGAAGCAGACAGAGCAGCACCUUCUUGCUCCAGCCUGCGCGUCAGAGCUGCCAUCCACCUCAUGUGAACACCUACUGGGAAAUUCAGACCACCUAGGGAGGUAGCACAGGAAGCAAGGAG
This 467-nucleotide long non-coding RNA is filed under the name Numida meleagris (helmeted guineafowl). RNAcentral's name for it is "lncRNA (ENSNMEG00000015640.1)". Lineage: Eukaryota; Metazoa; Chordata; Aves; Galliformes; Numididae. The record is from RNAcentral.